AUGAGUACAUUAAGCUGGAACUGCCUAGGGCUUGGGAACCCUUGGUCAGUUCCAGAGCUUCGCAAAGUGGUGAAGUAAGAAGGCACUGCCCUUUUAUUUGUAAUGGAAACCAAAAUAAAGGGUAAAAGAGUGGCAGAUUUGAAAACCUCUCUUAGUUUUUCAGGAUGUUUUGCCGUCGGCAGUGAUGGGCUAAGUGGUGGUAUUGGUUUAUUUUGGUCGAAAUACAUUGAUGUUACUUUGGAAAACUAUAGUAUUUCUCACAUUGAUGUAACGGUCAAGCAAGAAAAUAAAUCUUGGCGGUUCACAGGGUUUUACAGGGCGCCACGAGUGGAAAACAGAUGUCAUAGUUGGCGCUUCCUUCGCACGUUGUUCACUCUUCUGCAUCAUGCAUGGAUUUGCAUGGGGGACUGCAAUGAGAGUUUAUAUGCAGAAGAGCAUUUUGGAGCAAAUGUGAGAUCGGAGAGCCAAAUGAAGGCAUUUCGGAAAGCAACAGAGGAGUGCUCACUCCAAGAUUUGGGGUGGAGAGGUGUACCAUUCACAUGGGAUAACAGGCAAGAUGGAGCUGCAAAUGUCAAAGCAAGGCUUGAUCAGGCCUUUGCGAACGCAGCCUUCCUGCAUCUCUUUGAGUUCACGUUAGUAAAACACAUCAAUAGUGCGGAAUCAGAUCACUGUUACGUGCUAGCUGAAGUGUGUACACAUGCAACAAACAAUUGGUCUAGAGCAGCAAAAAAAUUGAUAUAA
RNAcentral lists this ribosomal RNA (741 nucleotides) under Triticum aestivum (bread wheat). RNAcentral's name for it is "partial small subunit ribosomal RNA". The record is from RNAcentral. Lineage: Eukaryota; Viridiplantae; Streptophyta; Magnoliopsida; Poales; Poaceae.